Molecule: ribosomal RNA, 492 nt
Filed under: uncultured bacterium
Lineage: Bacteria
Description: partial 16S ribosomal RNA
Rfam family: Bacterial small subunit ribosomal RNA
Source: RNAcentral
GAUGAACGCUAGCUACAGGCUUAACACAUGCAAGUCGAGGGGAAACGACAUCGAAAGCUUGCUUUUGAUGGGCGUCGACCGGCGCACGGGUGAGUAACGCGUAUCCAACCUGCCCAUCACUUGGGAAUAACCUUGCGAAAGUAAGACUAAUACCCAAUGAUAUCCCACGAAGGCAUCGGAAUGGGAUUAAAGAUUUAUCGGUGAUGGAUGGGGAUGCGUCUGAUUAGCUUGUUGGCGGGGUAACGGCCCACCAAGGCAACGAUCAGUAGGGGUUCUGAGAGGAGGGUCCCCCACAUUGGAACUGAGACACGGUCCAAACUCCUACGGGAGGCAGCAGUGAGGAAUAUUGGUCAAUGGGCGAGAGCCUGAACCAGCCAAGUAGCGUGCAGGAAGACGGCCCUAUGGGUUGUAAACUGCUUUUAUAAGGGAAUAAAGUGGGUCACGUGUGACUUUUUGCAUGUACCUUAUGAAUAAGGACCGGCUAAUUCCGUG